RNAcentral lists this unclassified non-coding RNA (343 nucleotides) under soil metagenome. RNAcentral describes it as "partial contains 5.8S ribosomal RNA, internal transcribed spacer 2, and large subunit ribosomal RNA". The stretch from base 1 to 120 matches the Rfam family "5.8S ribosomal RNA", at positions 35 to 154 of the family's 154-position model. The record is from RNAcentral.
GAUGAAGAACGUAGCGAAAUGCGAUAAGUAAUGCGAAUUGCAGAAUUCCGUGAGUCAUCGAAUCUUUGAACGCACAUUGCGCCCGCCAGCAUUCUGGCGGGCAUGCCUGUUCGAGCGUCAUUUCAACCCUCGAGCCCCCCCGGGGGCCUCGGUGUUGGGGGACGGCACACCAGCCGCCCCCGAAAUGCAGUGGCGACCCCGCCGCAGCCUCCCCUGCGUAGUAGCACACACCUCGCACCGGAGCGCGGAGGCGGUCACGCCGUAAAACGCCCAACUUUCUUAGAGUUGACCUCGGAUCAGGUAGGAAUACCCGCUGAACUUAAGCAUAUCAAUAAGCGGAGGA